Molecule: ribosomal RNA, 682 nt
Filed under: Curvularia trifolii
Lineage: Eukaryota; Fungi; Ascomycota; Dothideomycetes; Pleosporales; Pleosporaceae
Description: partial large subunit ribosomal RNA
Rfam family: Eukaryotic large subunit ribosomal RNA
Source: RNAcentral
GUGGUCGCUAGCUAUUGCCGUGUAAAGCCCCCUUCGACGAGUCGAGUUGUUUGGGAAUGCAGCUCUAAAUGGGAGGUAAAUUUCUUUCUAAAGCUAAAUAUUGGCCAGAGACCGAUAGCGCACAAGUAGAGUGAUCGAAAGAUGAAAAGCACUUUUGGAAAGAGAGUCAAACAGCACGUGAAAUUUGUUGAAAGGGAAGCGCUUGCAGCCAGACUUGCUUGCAGUUGCUCAUCCGGGCUUUUGCCCGGUGCACUCUUCUGCAGGCAGGCCAGCAUCAGUUUGGGCGGUGGGAUAAAGGUCUCUGACACGUUCCUUCCUUCGGGUUGGCCAUAUAGGGGAGACGUCAUACCACCAGCCUGGACUGAGGUCCGCGCAUCUGCUAGGAUGCUGGCGUAAUGGCUGUAAGCGGCCCGUCUUGAAACACGGACCAAGGAGUCUAACAUCUAUGCGAGUGUUUGGGUGUCAAGCCCGAGCGCGUAAUGAAAGUGAACGGAGGUGGGAACCCGCAAGGGUGCACCAUCGACCGAUCCUGAAGUUUACGGAAGGAUUUGAGUAAGAGCAUGGCUGUUGGGACCCGAAAGAUGGUGAACUAUGCUUGAAUAGGGUGAAGCCAGAGGAAACUCUGGUGGAGGCUCGCAGCGGUUCUGACGUGCAAAUCGAUCGUCAAAUUUGGGCAUAGGGC